AGCUAUUAAAGUGACUGGUCAAAAUCACAUUUAUUUAUUUGUUAUUUAUAUGAGCUCGCCUGCAGGCUAAAAUUAUAACAUUGUCUAUAAUAUACAUGUAAAUACAAAUUAAAGACAAACUCAGUUAAUACCAAUUACAGUGUGGGUCCUCCCUAUUAUUGGCAUUAAUUAAGCAAGUUUACAAAAAAUAAUAAAAGUAAAAUAAAAAUAAAAAGCACUAAACAACAACAAAGAAAACAAAAAAAUAACAAAGCAAAAAACUCGAAGUCAAAUAACAGGAUACAGGGCUAUAUAGUGAGGCCUCGUACCAUUUUUUCGGUCUUGUCUAAAAGUAAACACACAAUCACAUUACAAAGUUGGAUUAUAGGGAAAAUUCCCAUCAUGCUGGGGAGAGGCAUGGUACGUAUGGGUACAUGCAUAACGGAUCUCUUCAAUUAAAUGUUAAAUAUUAAAUAAACUUGGUUGCCGCGGCUUACUUCAUUAUAAACUGAUUUCACCAAUCAAAGUAUUUUUGUCUACACAGGAAAUCCGGCUAUUCGUGAGCCCCUACGG
Molecule: non-coding RNA, 552 nt
Organism: Paramuricea clavata
Lineage: Eukaryota; Metazoa; Cnidaria; Anthozoa; Malacalcyonacea; Plexauridae
Source: the annotation of a GenBank genome assembly